GCUAAUGGUAGAAGAGCGGACACAUGUUGAUGUAUAAAGGACAUGAACAAGUGUAUAAAGCAUAAUAGGUGACCUUUAAAUAAUAUGGUAUCUGUAUCAGAGUAUUUUCACGUUACAAACUAUGUGUUAAAAUAUUGUUUCAGUCUUGACAAAAUCGGGUCCGCUGGGCGAGUGGAGGAGGGCGAAGACAGAGGACAUCACAUCAAGAAACGAGUAAAGCAGCGUCCGUUCCUCUGCGAUGUGAAACUGGUAGAAAGGUGUAGAAACAUAUUUAACAUUUCACCGUCUGCAUGUUCGCUUAAAGUGACCGUGAGCUCCGGAAAACAUUUCACAGCAAACACGCUGAAGCUCUGACUGAUAAUGAAAACGUUUUGAAUGUAGAAACUUGAAAGAAGUGUCAAGAAAAAGGGCUAAACUUAAAAUACAUUCAACCUUUGGAUCGAAUGCAAAACGUGCGGGACAUUUGGUACGAUUUUUCCCUGAUGGCUUUUUUAAAGUUUAUUGCGAUUUAAAAAAGAAAUUGAACAGGAAAUGAGUUUAAAAGACGAAUCAGACGAAGUGUUUGUUGCUAUAAAUCUGAAGGAGCUCAUUCACAAGGUGACACAAGUUAUUGUAGUUUAGCUUUAAAAUAUAUAUUCAAUAUAAAAAACAUACCUGAUGUAUUUUUGAAAUACUGUAAGUGUAUCUAUCAUUGAUGACAGGGGAACUUGGCUUUUUUGAGCUGUCCAAAGUGAACGAAUUCAGGUGAAGCCUCACUUCUUUUCAAAAUAUUUUUUAUU
Long non-coding RNA from Notothenia coriiceps (black rockcod), 779 nucleotides. RefSeq lists it as uncharacterized. The transcript is spliced from 2 exons. NCBI's taxonomy places the organism in Eukaryota, Metazoa, Chordata, Actinopteri, Perciformes, Nototheniidae. The record is from RefSeq and is a predicted model, not a curated record.